CGGCAUGGCGAUCGGGAUCGUCGGAGAUGCCGGCGUAAGGGCAAAUGCACAGCAGCCAAAGCUAUUUGUGGGUAUGAUUCUCAUCCUUAUUUUUGCUGAAGCACUUGCUCUCUAUGGCCUCAUUGUCGGCAUCAUCCUCUCAUCUCGAGCUGGGCAAUCUCGGGCAGACUGAGAAUACAAGGAUCUGGUGCCCCGAACCUUUGGUUCAAUUUGCAUAGACAUGAAUUUUAUGAGCUAUGUGUCUUAACGGAGGUAUGAGCUAUUCCUUCCUUCUUAGCUUAUUAUGCCCUUGUUGAGAACACAGUUUGGUGAAACUUAUUAUACAGCAAAUAAUGUCGCUGAUCUAUCCAAGUUAUAGAUCUGUAAUCUUAUGUUUUAUAUCACCUUUGGUUUUUGGUUUUAGACAGUUUUGGUUUUGUUGAUCAGGCUUCAC
RNAcentral lists this unclassified non-coding RNA (433 nucleotides) under Hevea brasiliensis (rubber tree). The record is from RNAcentral. Lineage: Eukaryota; Viridiplantae; Streptophyta; Magnoliopsida; Malpighiales; Euphorbiaceae.